GUGAGGAAUAUUGGUCAAUGGGCGAGAGCCUGAACCAGCCAAGUCGCGUGAAGGAAGAAGGAUCUAUGGUUCGUAAACUUCUUUUGCAGGGGAAUAAAGUGCAGGACGUGUCCUGUUUUGUAUGUACCCUGAGAAUAAGGAUCGGCUAACUCCGUGCCAGCAGCCGCGGUAAUACGGAGGAUCCGAGCGUUAUCCGGAUUUAUUGGGUUUAAAGGGUGCGUAGGUGGUUUGAUAAGUCAGCGGUGAAAGUUUGCAGCUUAACUGUAAAAAUGCCGUUGAAACUGUCGGACUUGAGUGUAAAUGAGGUAGGCGGAAUGCGUGGUGUAGCGGUGAAAUGCAUAGAUAUCACGCAGAACUCCGAUUGCGAAGGCAGCUUACUAAGCUACAACUGACACUGAAGCACGAAAGCGUGGGGAUCAAACAGGAUUAGAAACCCGGGUAGUCC
RNAcentral lists this ribosomal RNA (445 nucleotides) under uncultured bacterium. RNAcentral describes it as "partial 16S ribosomal RNA". It matches the Rfam family "Bacterial small subunit ribosomal RNA", at positions 354 to 796 of the family's 1533-position model. The record is from RNAcentral.